AUCAUCUGAGCUCCUCCCUAUCUUUGACGUCCGCAUUUUCUCUGCAUUCCCAUCCAACUGAUCCCCACCAUGUUUCUUGGCCGAUAUUGUAUGAGGCAUCCCUCAGCUCGAUGAGUUGGACAAAAAAUAGAAACUUAAAUGAAGAAGUGUAAUUCGGAAAAAAAGAAAGCUUGAGAGAGAAGAUAAUGAUAUGGUUCAAUAACCAGUACUAAAAGAAAGGGUUAGGAAAGAGAAAAAAAUAAUGAUCGAUGCAAAAGAAAACACAGAAAAAUGAUUAUUCCAACUGUUAACUUGGCUUGCAUAUAUUUACAACAUUUCCAGGGGCUAAUUAAAACUAAAAUCCUAGUCUUGCAUAUAUUUACAAUAUUUUCAGUCUAUCUCGAUCAAUUUCCCUCAGGAAUGUGAAGAUAGGAAUGAGAAAUUUUGGGAAAAUUUUAAGAAACAACUCCAUUUUCCUGUAAAUAAUGAGGAACGAGGAUUAUAUGGAGAAAUUUUCUUUACCUUUUGAUCAUUAUUUUCCAUUCAUUUCACUGGUAAAAGAGUAAAAGGAAAAUGAAAUAACAGAGAUUAUCUCCAAAAAUGAAACUACUGUUUAGGAAGGAAGAGACAUAGCUUGGAGGGUGUGGCCUGCAUUUAUUUGUACAUAGGGUUUCCAAACAAAAUUUCCCCAUUAUAGGAUGAAGAGAGAGAGGAGAAGAUCGAGAGAGUGAGGGAAGGUGACAGAGCAGGGAGGGGGAGCGAAAUAGGAAGAGUGAGGGCUGGUGAGAGAGGGCGAGAGCGUGAGAAAGUGUGUGAGGAAGGGGCAGUGAGGAGAGGUCAAACUGACAAGAGAAGGAAAACAAGCUAAAGGCUUGUUUGAUAACUUUUUUUUAGUUUUCACUAUAUUAUGAAUGGAAAAUGUUUUGAUAGGGCUGCAGCUUUACUAUAAUAACUUGGGCUGCAGCCAUCCAUGCCGUCCAUUAAUUUGGACAGUCCAAGUCUUUUACACCGGUGAAUAAGAGAAACCAGGGCACCCAAAUCCCCGGUUACCACUGAAUUUUCUAAUAAAAGUGUAUUUUUUUUCUUCUUGUUCUUGAAACCAUAUACCCUUCCACUGAAUUGCUCUCCCUCUAAAUCUCCUCUCUGGUUCUUUGUUUGCCUCUCUCCCCUUUAAAGCCCUCUAUGAUCUCCUUCAAAAAUCACAAUUUGCGCCUAACUCAUUGUUACUCUUGAUUUUCUCUCUCUUCUCUCUCUACAUACUUCUCCAUCUCUACACUUUCCCUCUUUAAAACCCACCUUCUAAUUGUGUUUCUAGUAAUACAGAGCAAAUCAUUUGUUUUGUCUCCCAUAAGAUGUCCAUAUGAUCAGCAAAACAUUGUAUUUGCCAAUAUUACAAGACAAAAACAAGUAGUAAUUCUGAUAGUUCAUGCAAGCAAAAAAAGCAUGGAAAACCUGGUGGUUUUUAGUGAAAGAAUCCCAAAGCAUGAUCUCAGAAUCAGUAGGCAAUAAUCCUGCAUCCUUAAGCUCGAUACUAGAAUCUUUAGAUCAUUUGUUGCCAGAGGUAAAGACAAUUCUGUGCUUUCUGUUUCUUGCCAGUAACCGUGGCCUAGUAGUUUUUAACAAAUAACCCAAAUAGUUUCUAUCCCCAUCAAUGCAUGAGCUUCUUGUUGGAUUUCAAAUAGCACUUCUGAGAUCUACAUGCAGUAAAUAUACAUGCAAAAGCAAGAUGAUAGAAAUUGUACAGAGAAGGAUUUGCUUCAUUUCUCUAUGCAUGAUGGUCUGAUGUUGAAUUUUGAGAGUGGACAUACAACAUCAUUAAUAGAGAAUUUGCAAAUAAGUUUCCCUCUCUAAAACCUAGACCACGUGAUAGUUUCCCUGCAUGUGACUCAUUGCAAUUCUAGAGAGAGAAUCUCAGUACCUCUCAAAAAUAUCAAGAGUUUUCUCUCACAAAGAAUCAAACAGUUGAUAGGGCUCAUACUCUUUGGAAAUUUCAAGUCUCUCUUUCAAAUUUCAAUUCUAUUUGGAACUUCAGCAAGGAUUGGGGGGGCUAGAGUUUCUUUCAUCUUCGACUGGAAUUUGAAUUGUGGGAUGGUCAUGCGGGGUGUGAUCUUUUCAAUGACCAUUGUGAGCAGUAUUGGUCUUGGUGUUUUCUAUGAACUAGGACCUUUUCUAGUUUCCCUGGGUCGCUGGUUUUUGCAAGAGACCUUUUAAGAUCUUCAUCUUUUGCAUUGGAAAAUUUAGAGAGAGAGAGAGAGAGAGGUGAUUUGGGUAAUAAGAGAAUGGAAAGUUCUCUAGAGAGAGACGCAAAUUGGGGAGAGAGAGGAGAAUUGGAUAUUGUUUGGGUACUUGGAAAUAUAUUGUCUGGGAAAUAUAUUACUGGUGUAAUACAUUAUAGGCAUAAUACAUUAUUAGAUUGUUAUUGUUUGGGUAGUAUCUAGAUGCAACCUGAGAAAUACAAUGCUACUGUUAGGCUGUCUAGAGGAUAUCUGGGAAAUGCAUUACCAACAUUUUGGCAAGGAAAUCGUGUGUUGAUUUUAUCUAUAGUAAUGUGGUUUUUUUAAUACUUUUUUUUCCUUUCUAGGAUAAAAAAGCUACUUUGUUUUUUAAUAUGGUUUUUUUAAUACUUUUUUUCCUUUUUAGGAUAAAUAAUCGAUUAAAACUACUUUGUUUUCUAAUAUGUGAAGGAAUAUCCACAUGGACUAAUUUUAUCCCUCUUCUCCUUACAAUUAUUCCGUUAAUAGGUGGAUAACAUCACUAUUUUCCAAAGAGAGACUAUUGCUAUUGUCAUCACUUACUAAUAUGUGAAAAUGAAUGGUGUCACCAAUUCCCACUUAUGCCAAGACCUGUUAUGCAUGAUUAUGUGCGAGUAAUUAUGAUCAUAUUCAAUUCCUGUUAUCCAUUGAUCCACAAUAACUAAAACAAGUAGAACAUAGUAACAAAAGUCCAACAAAUUGAGAAAAAAAAAUUGCCCAAGAUCAGUAGUAAUAGUUGCAAAGCACAUGAACGUACUAGUAGUUGCAAAGCACAUGAAUAUACAAGAAGUAAAUGGUACAAGAAUCAGUUCUUGGUGCGGUUUUACCAAAUCAAAUUUUGACUUCCAAAUUCCACAUUAUCAUAUAAAAGAGAAUCGUAUUCUGCAAGGUCUCACAUAAAAGAUUUCAAAAGCUAAAUAUUCUAUUCCCUAUAUCGUUAAUGUGUUCUCCAAUCCUUUUUUCUCCACAUAAAAUAGGCCAUUAAAACCCAUUCAUGGAUAGUUUGGUAUCUGAUGACAGAGAAUCAUGGGCCAAAAUGAAAUUUGGAGGCAACUGUACGAGGGAAAUGUAAAAAAACCAAAUAAUGGAGAAGAUGUAAUGGCACCCAAUAGAUUUGGCUCCAAGACUACUAUAGCUACCACCACAAAACAAAGGCAAUAACCUACGACUAGUAUACACCGCAACUGAAAUUUAUCCACUAAGGCACAAGUCUAAUAAGACACCCAACUGAAAUUGAUGCACAGCUGCCUCUGCCACAACCAAGACACCCAACUGUGAACAUACAUAAUCAUUCUAACUGAAAGGCAGACUUAUCAGUGGCUGCAAUUACAUUGAACCACUAAUUAAAACCAAUGUGGCAAUUAUAAGACUGUCAAGAACCAACUAAAACACACGUCUAAUAAGAAAUAAUUAUUCAACAAAUAAAACAACAGCUAAAGCCAAACAUAUGAGAGAAACAAAUAGCUUCAGGAACAGAUAGCUUUAGGAUUCUAUAAUUCACAUACAAUCCCAAAAUUAGGAAGGGAAGAGAACGGUUUGACUCAAACCGGUUGCAAAAGGUAGUUGUAGGUUAGCGAGUACAACAAUGCAUACAAUAAUCCCAACCAGAAAAACAUUUCAUUGCAGUACAAAUUUAAGGAAAGCAUGGUAUCGGAAAACUCAAAGUGCUUUCAUAUUACACCGAUCUUCGUGGAAAAUGGAAAUGAAAUUAUUGCAAUCAAUCAACAGCAGCUCAUGGUCCCCCAUCAAAUGACAUUGAAUUUUCUCUGCACAACCCAAUCUCAUAUGGAUUUCGAACAAAUCAUGAGAAUGAAAUGGAAUUCAAUUUAACCAAAUCAGUAUAUGACCUUGAUGAAGUUCAUCUUGAUAAGUCACUAAAUAAAUCUUUCCAAUGAACAUUGGAUAAUCUCAUUUAUUGUUUUCCAUGUCCAUUAUAUAUUUUUUGGGGUUUUUACUGUUUAUGUGAACGAAAACACACAAAAACAGUCCGUGGGAAAAAAAGAAAAGGAUUGAGCGGGAUAAUUCUCCAUUUUCCCACCAUGGGCAACUACUCCACACAUAAUCAAGCGAUGGAUGAAUUUUAAUCCAGAGUCGAAGUGAUGGCCAAUGGAAUUUAUCAUCUGAACAAUUAACAGCAAAUUGGAUUCUCAAUGGAAAGGAAAUGAGAGUUACAUGGUUUAAGAGCUUACAUGGCAAUAAUAAUUAGGUUUGUUUGGACCAACAAUUUGUAGAGCUUGCUUUACUGAGACGAAUGCAAAGGCUGGCUGGCUUGCAAGAAUUCU
This 4513-nucleotide long non-coding RNA is filed under the name Amborella trichopoda. RNAcentral describes it as "long non-coding RNA (ATRI_LNC001714)". Lineage: Eukaryota; Viridiplantae; Streptophyta; Magnoliopsida; Amborellales; Amborellaceae. The record is from RNAcentral.